CGAUUAUGGCUCAGAUUGAACGCUGGCGGGAUGCUUUACACAUGCAAGUCGAACGGCAGCACGGACUUCGGUCUGGUGGCGAGUGGCGAACGGGUGAAUGUAAUGUAUCCGGAACGUGCCUAGUGGCGGGGGAUAACUACGCGAAAGCGUGGCUAAUACCGCGCUUACGCCCCCUUCGGGGAAAGCGAGGACCUUCGGGCCUCGCACCUUCGUGGCCGAUAUCGGAUUAGCUAGUUGGUGGGGUAACGGCUCACCAAGGCGACGAUCCGUAGCUGGUUUGAGAGGACGACCAGCCACACUGGGACUGAGACACGGCCCAGACUCCUACGGGGGGGCAGCAGUGGGGAAUUUUGGACAAUGGGGAAACCCACAAUCCAGCCAUCCGUGUGCGAUGAAGGCCUUCGGGUUGUAAGCACUUUGGCAGGAAAGAAACGGCACGGGAUAAUACCCCGUGCAACUGACGGUACACUUACCUGCAGAAUAAGCACCGGCUAACCGUGCCAGCAGCCGCCGCAGGCAAUACGUAGGGUGCAAGCGUUAAUCGGAAUUACUGGGCGUAAAGCGUGCACAGGCGGUUCGGAAGAAAGAUCAUGAAAUCCCAGAGCUUAACUUUGGAACUGCAUUUUUAACUACCGAGCUAGAGUGUGUCAGAGGAGUGGAAUUCCGCGUGUAGCAGUGAAAUGCGUAGAUAUGCGGAGGAACACCGAUGGCGAAGGCAGCCUCCUGGGAUAACACUGACGCUCAUGCACGAAAGCGUGGGGAGCAAACAGGAUUAAGAUACCUGGUAGUCCACGCCCUAAACGAUGUCAACUAGCUGUUGGGGCCUUCGGGCCUUGGUGGCCGCCCCGGCUAACGCGUGAAGUUGACCGCCUGGGGAGUACGGUCAUAAGAUUAAAACUCAAAGGAAUUGACGGGGACCCGCACAAGCGGUGGAUGAUGUUGGUUAAUUCAAAUGGCAACGCGAAAAACCGCACUACCCUUGACCAUCAUGGAAUCCCGAAGAGAUUUGGGAGUGCUCGCAAGAGAACCGGAACACAGGUGCUGCAUGGCUGUCGUCAGCUCGUGUCGUGAGAUGUUGGGUUAAGUCCUAACGAGCAUAGCCGCCGUGUCAUUGGAUUGCUACACGAAAGAGGGCACUCUCAAUGAGACUGCCGGUGACAAACCGGAGGAAAGGUGGGGAUGACGUCAAGUCCUCAUGGCCCUUAUGGUAGGAGCUUCACGUCUUCGUGGUGGACGGGGGGUCGCCAACCCGCGAGAGGCCAAUCCAGAAACCCGAUCAUCGAUCCGGAUCACGCAGUCUGCAACUCGACUGCGUGAAGUCGGAAUCGUUAAGUAAUCGCGGAUCAGCAUGUCGCGGUGAAUACGUUCCCGGGUCUUAUUUUACCGCCCGUCACACCAUGGGAAUUGGGUUUUACCAGAAGUAGUUAAGCCUAACCGUAGGAGGGCGAUUACACGACGGAUUCAUGACACGGGGGUAAGUCGUAACAAGGUAG
Molecule: ribosomal RNA, 1493 nt
Filed under: uncultured Bordetella sp.
Lineage: Bacteria; Pseudomonadati; Pseudomonadota; Betaproteobacteria; Burkholderiales; Alcaligenaceae
Description: partial 16S-23S ribosomal RNA intergenic spacer
Rfam family: Bacterial small subunit ribosomal RNA
Source: RNAcentral